GACGAACCGAGCGAACGUUGUUCGGAAUCACUGGGCUUAAAGGGCGCGUAGGCGGGUGCUCAAGUCCGUGGUGAAAUCCUCCGGCUCAACCGGAGAACUGCCUCGGAUACUGGGUGCCUCGAGGGUGGUAGGGGUAUGCGGAACUAUCGGUGGAGCGGUGAAAUGCGUUGAUAUCUGGAGGAACACCGGUGGCGAAGGCGGCAUCCUGGACCAAUUCUGACGCUGAGUGAGCGAAAGCCAGGGGAGCAAACGGG
This 254-nucleotide ribosomal RNA is filed under the name uncultured bacterium. Its description in RNAcentral is "partial 16S ribosomal RNA". It matches the Rfam family "Bacterial small subunit ribosomal RNA", at positions 524 to 776 of the family's 1533-position model. The record is from RNAcentral.